RNAcentral lists this ribosomal RNA (395 nucleotides) under uncultured Rhizophagus. Its description in RNAcentral is "partial 28S ribosomal RNA". Lineage: Eukaryota; Fungi; Glomeromycota; Glomeromycetes; Glomerales; Glomeraceae. The record is from RNAcentral.
GUGAAAUUGUUGAAAGGGAAACGAUUAAAGUCAGUCGUACUUAUGAGUAAUCAACCUUUUAGGUGCGAUCCUGUGGGCAUCUGAGAGUGGUAACACCUUGAUGUUUUCAAGUUCGUGCUUUGGGGCGUACUUGCUCAUUUGUAGGUUAACAUCGGUUUUGGUCGUUAUAAAAUGACUAGAGGAAUGUAGCUUCGAUUUCGAUUGAAGUGUUAUAGCCUCUGGUAGAUGUAAUGACUGAGACUGAGGAUUGCAACGAAUACCCUUCUGGGCUAUCUGUCUGGCUUCUGGUUAUCGCUUCGGUGCCGAAAGCUUGCUUACGGUUAUUGAAGUCGGUGGCCAAUAGGUUAGAACGGAUUAAAUUCGUUAAGGAUGUUGACGUAAUGGCUUUAAACGAC